Long non-coding RNA from Homo sapiens (human), 582 nucleotides. RefSeq lists it as uncharacterized. The transcript has 4 exons. Lineage: Eukaryota; Metazoa; Chordata; Mammalia; Primates; Hominidae. The record is from RefSeq and is a predicted model, not a curated record.
GCAUUUUAGACUACAUACAUAACAUUGGAGAAAGUGUUGGAAUUAUGGCCGGAGGACAGAAUUUAGAGUCCUGGCUCUGUCCCGUCCUAACUACAACUUUACACAAGGCGCAUCAUUUCUCUGGAUGUCAGAGAAAGAAGAAGGAAGAGUCAAGCAUAACACCAAAGGAUAGCAGGGCCAUUAUUGACAUUGGAAUCUCAGGAGCAGAGGCAUUUGGUGAGGGAGCCAAUAUCUGCAAGGAGAUCCAGAAAUGCCUAGGGUUUACAUCUCCCUGGCAAGGGCCCUACAAAUGACUCCUGGUACAGAAGUUUAAAGUCUCCAGCUUCCUUGCCCCAGUCCAGACCGCUCUGAGAUCCCUCUGAAAAGUGGCCAGAGUGGCUCAAGAGAAGGCUGGAGACAGAGGCAAACAGAGCCCUGACCACAUAGGCUUGGCGCAACAGGCAAAGAGCUUGCACUUAACCCGGUAAGUGAUGGGAAGUCUGCAAAAGGUUUCAGGCAAGGGAGCACUGCAGUUUUUGAAUAAAAACAACACACAUUAGAGAGUAAACAUGGCUGGGUGCAGCUCUUGCCUGUAAUUUCCGC